CUUCGGCGUUGGAUAUCAUUCAUUUGCACUGCUUACAAUCGAAAAAUAUCACAGAAUUGGUCUAAUCUAUGACUUUUUAUUAUCCUUGCGCUGUCUGUGAAAUAAUAAAAUAGUGAAGAUCGAGAGUGCUACUUCCAUGGAACUUCUGCAAGACUGUACUCUUAAACACCACACCAUGUUGCAGACUGCAGGAUGCUUGAGAUCUGUGAUGUCCCUUGAGGACAAGAUGACCAUUGUGUCCGACUUCCUGAGAUAGUUUAUCAUUGACCGCAACGUGUGUGUGAUUGACAGGUUUAAAGCAGGACUCUCAGCUCUUGGAUUGUACAGUGCACUGCAGCAGUACCCAACACUGCUGUCCCCGUCCUGUGUCACAUAGAAAAGCAGCUCACUGCUGAGGUACUGGAGAAUCUCUUCAGACCAGACUUAAGUCCAUUGGGGAGCAACAGGAGGGCCAGAGAGGGAAGAACCCUAGGAUUUUGGGCUGACUACCUCCUCGAUU
Long non-coding RNA from Alosa alosa (allis shad), 499 nucleotides. RefSeq lists it as uncharacterized. Lineage: Eukaryota; Metazoa; Chordata; Actinopteri; Clupeiformes; Clupeidae. The record is from RefSeq and is a predicted model, not a curated record. The transcript is spliced from 3 exons.